Molecule: ribosomal RNA, 374 nt
Filed under: uncultured organism
Description: partial 16S ribosomal RNA
Rfam family: Bacterial small subunit ribosomal RNA
Source: RNAcentral
GUAGGUGGCAAGCGUUGUCCGGAAUUAUUGGGCGUAAAGCGCGCGCAGGCGGGUCCUUUAAGUCUGAUGUGAAAGCCCACGGGCUCAACCGUGGAGGGUCAUUGGAAACUGGGGGACUUGAGUACAGAAGAGGAAAGCGGAAUUCCAAGUGUAGCGGUGAAAUGCGUAGAGAUUUGGAGGAACACCAGUGGCGAAGGCGGCUUUCUGGUCUGUAACUGACGCUGAGGCGCGAAAGCGUGGGGAGCAAACAGAAUUAGAUACCCUGGUAGUCCACGCCGUAAACGAUGAGUGCUAAGUGUUAGGGGGUUUCCGCCCCUUAGUGCUGCAGCUAACGCAUUAAGCACUCCGCCUGGGGAGUACGGCCGCAAAGGCUG